AAGCACCAGAUACAAGCCUGACAGUCUGCUCCGCCCUGUGCGUGUUGCACAAUGGGGUUAACCUAUGACUGCAUGGCUUCAAAAGGUGCGAGAACAACAUCAGCCCUGAGAUUUAAGCCCUUCAGUGGAAAGCAACACUGUUGAGUUAUAACUCAGAGGCACAAAU
Molecule: non-coding RNA, 166 nt
Organism: Nothobranchius furzeri (turquoise killifish)
Lineage: Eukaryota; Metazoa; Chordata; Actinopteri; Cyprinodontiformes; Nothobranchiidae
Source: Ensembl